UGCCCUGUUGUGAGUGGUCGUCCCCUGUC
Molecule: non-coding RNA, 29 nt
Filed under: Bombyx mori (domestic silkworm)
Lineage: Eukaryota; Metazoa; Arthropoda; Insecta; Lepidoptera; Bombycidae
Source: RNAcentral